GGUUAAGCGACUAAGCGUACACGGUGGAUGCCCUGGCAGUCAGAGGCGAUGAAGGACGUGCUAAUCUGCGAUAAGCGUCGGUAAGGUGAUAUGAACCGUUAUAACCGGCGAUUUCCGAAUGGGGAAACCCAGUGUGAUUCGUCACACUAUCAUUAACUGAAUCCAUAGGUUAAUGAGGCGAACCGGGGGAACUGAAACAUCUAAGUACCCCGAGGAAAAGAAAUCAACCGAGAUUCCCCCAGUAGCGGCGAGCGAACGGGGAGCAGCCCAGAGCCUGAAUCAGUGUGUGUGUUAGUGGAAGCGUCUGGAAAGGCGCGCGAUACAGGGUGACAGCCCCGUACACAAAAAUGCACAUACUGUGAGCUCGAUGAGUAGGGCGGGACACGUGGUAUCCUGUCUGAAUAUGGGGGGACCAUCCUCCAAGGCUAAAUACUCCUGACUGACCGAUAGUGAACCAGUACCGUGAGGGAAAGGCGAAAAGAACCCCGGCGAGGGGAGUGAAAAAGAACCUGAAACCGUGUACGUACAAGCAGUGGGAGCCUCUUAAUGGGGUGACUGCGUACCUUUUGUAUAAUGGGUCAGCGACUUAUAUUCUGUAGCAAGGUUAACCGAAUAGGGGAGCCGAAGGGAAACCGAGUCUUAACUGGGCGUUAAGUUGCAGGGUAUAGACCCGAAACCCGGUGAUCUAGCCAUGGGCAGGUUGAAGGUUGGGUAACACUAACUGGAGGACCGAACCGACUAAUGUUGAAAAAUUAGCGGAUGACUUGUGGCUGGGGGUGAAAGGCCAAUCAAACCGGGAGAUAGCUGGUUCUCCCCGAAAGCUAUUUAGGUAGCGCCUCGUGAAUUCAUCUCCGGGGGUAGAGCACUGUUUCGGCAAGGGGGUCAUCCCGACUUACCAACCCGAUGCAAACUGCGAAUACCGGAGAAUGUUAUCACGGGAGACACACGGCGGGUGCUAACGUCCGUCGUGAAGAGGGAAACAACCCAGACCGCCAGCUAAGGUCCCAAAGUCAUGGUUAAGUGGGAAACGAUGUGGGAAGGCCCAGACAGCCAGGAUGUUGGCUUAGAAGCAGCCAUCAUUUAAAGAAAGCGUAAUAGCUCACUGGUCGAGUCGGCCUGCGCGGAAGAUGUAACGGGGCUAAACCAUGCACCGAAGCUGCGGCAGCGACACUAUGUGUUGUUGGGUAGGGGAGCGUUCUGUAAGCCUGUGAAGGUGUACUGUGAGGUAUGCUGGAGGUAUCAGAAGUGCGAAUGCUGACAUAAGUAACGAUAAAGCGGGUGAAAAGCCCGCUCGCCGGAAGACCAAGGGUUCCUGUCCAACGUUAAUCGGGGCAGGGUGAGUCGACCCCUAAGGCGAGGCCGAAAGGCGUAGUCGAUGGGAAACAGGUUAAUAUUCCUGUACUUGGUGUUACUGCGAAGGGGGGACGGAGAAGGCUAUGUUGGCCGGGCGACGGUUGUCCCGGUUUAAGCGUGUAGGCUGGUUUUCCAGGCAAAUCCGGAAAAUCAAGGCUGAGGCGUGAUGACGAGGCACUACGGUGCUGAAGCAACAAAUGCCCUGCUUCCAGGAAAAGCCUCUAAGCAUCAGGUAACAUCAAAUCGUACCCCAAACCGACACAGGUGGUCAGGUAGAGAAUACCAAGGCGCUUGAGAGAACUCGGGUGAAGGAACUAGGCAAAAUGGUGCCGUAACUUCGGGAGAAGGCACGCUGAUAUGUAGGUGAAGUCCCUCGCGGAUGGAGCUGAAAUCAGUCGAAGAUACCAGCUGGCUGCAACUGUUUAUUAAAAACACAGCACUGUGCAAACACGAAAGUGGACGUAUACGGUGUGACGCCUGCCCGGUGCCGGAAGGUUAAUUGAUGGGGUUAGCGGUAACGCGAAGCUCUUGAUCGAAGCCCCGGUAAACGGCGGCCGUAACUAUAACGGUCCUAAGGUAGCGAAAUUCCUUGUCGGGUAAGUUCCGACCUGCACGAAUGGCGUAAUGAUGGCCAGGCUGUCUCCACCCGAGACUCAGUGAAAUUGAACUCGCUGUGAAGAUGCAGUGUACCCGCGGCAAGACGGAAAGACCCCGUGAACCUUUACUAUAGCUUGACACUGAACAUUGAGCCUUGAUGUGUAGGAUAGGUGGGAGGCUUUGAAGUGUGGACGCCAGUCUGCAUGGAGCCGGCCUUGAAAUACCACCCUUUAAUGUUUGAUGUUCUAACGUUGGCCCCUGACCGGGGUUGCGGACAGUGUCUGGUGGGUAGUUUGACUGGGGCGGUCUCCUCCUAAAGAGUAACGGAGGAGCACGAAGGUUGGCUAAUCCUGGUCGGACAUCAGGAGGUUAGUGCAAUGGCAUAAGCCAGCUUGACUGCGAGCGUGACGGCGCGAGCAGGUGCGAAAGCAGGUCAUAGUGAUCCGGUGGUUCUGAAUGGAAGGGCCAUCGCUCAACGGAUAAAAGGUACUCCGGGGAUAACAGGCUGAUACCGCCCAAGAGUUCAUAUCGACGGCGGUGUUUGGCACCUCGAUGUCGGCUCAUCACAUCCUGGGGCUGAAGUAGGUCCCAAGGGUAUGGCUGUUCGCCAUUUAAAGUGGUACGCGAGCUGGGUUUAGAACGUCGUGAGACAGUUCGGUCCCUAUCUGCCGUGGGCGCUGGAGAACUGAGGGGGGCUGCUCCUAGUACGAGAGGACCGGAGUGGACGCAUCACUGGUGUUCGGGUUGUCAUGCCAAUGGCACUGCCCGGUAGCUAAAUGCGGAAGAGAUAAGUGCUGAAAGCAUCUAAGCACGAAACUUGCCCCGAGAUGAGUUCUCCCUGACUCCUUGAGAGUCCUGAAGGAACGUUGAAGACGACGACGUUGAUAGGCCGGGUGUGUAAGCGCAGCGAUGCGUUGAGCUAACCGGUACUAAUGAACCGUGAGGCUUAACCUU
Molecule: ribosomal RNA, 2904 nt
Filed under: Escherichia coli
Lineage: Bacteria; Pseudomonadati; Pseudomonadota; Gammaproteobacteria; Enterobacterales; Enterobacteriaceae
Description: 23S ribosomal RNA
Rfam family: Bacterial large subunit ribosomal RNA
Source: RNAcentral